RNAcentral lists this transfer RNA (72 nucleotides) under Ictidomys tridecemlineatus (thirteen-lined ground squirrel). RNAcentral describes it as "Spermophilus tridecemlineatus (thirteen-lined ground squirrel) tRNA". It matches the Rfam family "tRNA". Rfam says of the family: Transfer RNA (tRNA) molecules are approximately 80 nucleotides in length. Their secondary structure includes four short double-helical elements and three loops (D, anti-codon, and T loops). Further hydrogen bonds mediate the characteristic L-shaped molecular structure. tRNAs have two regions of fundamental functional importance: the anti-codon, which is responsible for specific mRNA codon recognition, and the 3' end, to which the tRNAs corresponding amino acid is attached (by aminoacyl-tRNA synthetases). tRNAs cope with the degeneracy of the genetic code in two manners: having more than one tRNA (with a specific anti-codon) for a particular amino acid; and 'wobble' base-pairing, i.e. permitting non-standard base-pairing at the 3rd anti-codon position. Lineage: Eukaryota; Metazoa; Chordata; Mammalia; Rodentia; Sciuridae. The record is from Rfam by way of RNAcentral.
UGGAUUGUAGCUCAGUGGUAGGGCGCCUGCCUUGCAUGCAUGAGGCACUGGGUUCGAGCCUCAGCACCACAU